UAUUCUGAUGAUAUAAUUUGCGAUUGACUUCGGCACUGGAGACUCUCGCCGGAGUCUCAUAACAGUGCUGGGGACAUGAUAUUGAAUUCUUACAUAUGCUGAAC
Molecule: small nucleolar RNA, 104 nt
Filed under: Capronia coronata CBS 617.96
Lineage: Eukaryota; Fungi; Ascomycota; Eurotiomycetes; Chaetothyriales; Herpotrichiellaceae
Description: A. fumigatus snoRNA Afu_514
Rfam family: A. fumigatus snoRNA Afu_514
Source: Rfam by way of RNAcentral